CUGAACAAUGAGGCAUUAAUUCUUUUUUUUCACUAAAUCAUUUUUCUCCUGCCAGCUAUAUUAUCAUAGCUUAUGCUUGUUUGUGAAUUUAAUGAACACAAAAGCAUUAUCAAGAGAUGAGCAACAGUUACCAAGGAACAAGAGCAAGAGGUCAACACUUAAUGUGGACUAACCGACUCAAACCUCGUAGGACUAGGAUGCAUUUGAUAUGCCUGACUUCUCUGCAGCAAACAGUUUGCAGUGAGCAAUACAGCACAGACCUUCUACCAGCAGGGACUAGCCACAACUGAGGAGCUUCAAAGACAAC
This is a long non-coding RNA of Gallus gallus (chicken), 307 nucleotides long. The record is from Ensembl. NCBI's taxonomy places the organism in Eukaryota, Metazoa, Chordata, Aves, Galliformes, Phasianidae.